RNAcentral lists this ribosomal RNA (657 nucleotides) under uncultured fungus. Its description in RNAcentral is "eukaryotic LSU rRNA". It matches the Rfam family "Eukaryotic large subunit ribosomal RNA", at positions 24 to 664 of the family's 3401-position model. The record is from RNAcentral. Lineage: Eukaryota; Fungi.
CCCGCUGAACUUAAGCAUAUCAAUAAGCGGAGGAAAAGAAACUAACAAGGAUUCCCCUAGUAACUGCGAGUGAAGCGGGAAAAGCUCAAAUUUAAAAUCUGGCGGUCUCUGGCCGUCCGAGUUGUAAUCUAGAGAAGUGAUGCCUGCGCUGGACCGUGUACAAGUCUCCUGGAAUGGAGCGUCAUAGAGGGUGAGAAUCCCGUCUCUGACACGGACUACCAGGGCUUUGUGGUACGCUCUCAAAGAGUCGAGUUGUUUGGGGAUGCAGCUCAAAAUGGGUGGUAAAUUCCAUCUAAAGCUAAAUAUUGGCGAGAGACCGAUAGCGAACAAGUACCGUGAGGGAAAGAUGAAAAGAACUUUGAAAAGAGAGUUAAACAGUGCGUGAAAUUGUUGAAAGGGAAACGUUUGAAGUCAGUCGCGUCGUCCGAGACUCAGCCUCGCCUCGGCUUGGUGUACUUCCUGUUCAUUGGGUCAACAUCAGUUUUGGUCAGUGGAAAAAGGUUCAGGGAAUGUGGCUCUUUCGGGAGUGUUAUAGCCUUGGAUCAUAUACAUUGACUGGGACUGAGGAACUCAGCACGCCGCAAGGCCGGGUUUUUAACCACGUUCGUGCUUAGGAUGUUGGCAUAAUGGCUUUAAUCGACCCGUCUUGAAACACGG